UGCCGGAUUUCUUUUUGAAAAGUUGAGCCUUAUUUUUCUCUAUUUUUUUUUAAUUUUCUUUAUUUUGUCGGUGCCAUUGAUCGCCAUUGAUUGCCAAACCAGGGACACUAACCAUGUCGCAAGGUUUUCGACCAUCAUUGGGCAUAGCCACGCUAGCCGUAGCCCAUGUUUUGGAGAAUGGAAUGAAGAAAUAAAUCCCCUGUUCACCCAAACGAAGAAGAGAAGAAAAAAAAGAAAAAGAAAAGAAAAGAAAAGAAAAGAAAAA
RNAcentral lists this long non-coding RNA (265 nucleotides) under Elaeis guineensis (African oil palm). RNAcentral describes it as "long non-coding RNA (EGUI_LNC046027)". Lineage: Eukaryota; Viridiplantae; Streptophyta; Magnoliopsida; Arecales; Arecaceae. The record is from RNAcentral.